This 492-nucleotide ribosomal RNA is filed under the name uncultured bacterium. Its description in RNAcentral is "partial 16S ribosomal RNA". It matches the Rfam family "Bacterial small subunit ribosomal RNA", at positions 29 to 507 of the family's 1533-position model. The record is from RNAcentral.
AGUGAACGCUGGCGGUAGGCCUAACACAUGCAAGUCGAACGGCAGCACAGUAAGAGCUUGCUCUUACGGGUGGCGAGUGGCGGACGGGUGAGGAAUACAUCGGAAUCUACUUUUUCGUGGGGGAUAACGUAGGGAAACUUACGCUAAUACCGCAUACGACCUACGGGUGAAAGCAGGGGAUCUUCGGACCUUGCGCGAUUGAAUGAGCCGAUGUCGGAUUAGCUAGUUGGCGGGGUAAAGGCCCACCAAGGCGACGAUCCGUAGCUGGUCUGAGAGGAUGAUCAGCCACACUGGAACUGAGUCACGGUCCAGACUCCUACGGGAGGCAGCAGUGGGGAAUAUUGGACAAUGGGCGCAAGCCUGAUCCAGCCAUACCGCGUGGGUGAAGAAGGCCCUCGGGUUGUAAAGCCCUUUUGUUGGGAAAGAAAAGCAGCAGGUUAAUACCCCGCUGUUCUGACGGUACCCAAAGAAUAAGCACCGGCUAACUUCGUG